AGUAACACGUGAGCAACCUGCCUUUCAGAGGGGGACAACAGUUGGAAACGACUGCUAAUACCGCAUAAAAUAACGGAACCGCAUGAUUCUGUUAUCAGAGGAGAAAUCCGCUGAAAGAUGGGCUCGCGUCUGAUUAGAUAGUUGGUGAGGUAACGGCCCACCAAGUCGACGAUCAGUAGCCGGACUGAGAGGUUGAACGGCCACAUUGGGACUGAGACACGGCCCAGACUCCUACGGAAGGCAGCAG
RNAcentral lists this ribosomal RNA (247 nucleotides) under uncultured bacterium. RNAcentral's name for it is "partial 16S ribosomal RNA". It matches the Rfam family "Bacterial small subunit ribosomal RNA", at positions 109 to 354 of the family's 1533-position model. The record is from RNAcentral.